CCAUUAUCACGAGUGAACGAGAGAUCUGGCUCAAUGACUUCACAGCAGCCUCAUGAAAGGUGCUCCUACCAGCAAAGCAUAUUUGCUUUGGCUGAUAAGAU
This 101-nucleotide non-coding RNA is filed under the name Bacillus sp. (in: firmicutes). Its description in RNAcentral is "Bacillus sp. SAM-I sequence". It matches the Rfam family "SAM riboswitch aptamer (S box leader)". From Rfam's summary of the family: The SAM riboswitch is found upstream of a number of genes which code for proteins involved in methionine or cysteine biosynthesis in Gram-positive bacteria. The SAM riboswitch acts at the level of transcription termination control. Lineage: Bacteria; Bacillati; Bacillota; Bacilli; Caryophanales; Bacillaceae. RNAcentral also lists the same sequence under 1 other name. The record is from RNAcentral.